This 1186-nucleotide long non-coding RNA is filed under the name Strongylocentrotus purpuratus (purple sea urchin). RNAcentral describes it as "uncharacterized LOC115929730, transcript variant X1". Lineage: Eukaryota; Metazoa; Echinodermata; Echinoidea; Camarodonta; Strongylocentrotidae. The record is from RNAcentral.
CAUGUUUAAGCGGGACGGGAGAAAGCCCAAGCCGCUGUACAAGUUGGGUUGAGAAAGAGAGCAGCGUAUAUUCGAGAAUAGACCGAACGGACAGAAGUGUGUUCGGCCAGUAUGAAUGGGGACACACCGAUCGUGGCGCCGCGCCGCGACAGAAGUGGCGACGGAGUGGCGACCAUCAAACAUGGCGUUAAAAAGGAGGCGCCAUAUUGGCCCUGUACUGGAAGAAGGAUCGAUGCGUCCCCCGAGAGUUUAUACAAGCGUUAACUGGAUCAAAAACUUAAUGAUAGACAUCUUUCUUGCAAGGAUAAAAAAUUCACUACUUCAGUGUCAAAGGAGAUCGUUGGACGGUAACACCAAGUGUAUUGAGCCUACAUGUACUGCUUUGGAUUGGUAGGAGCUAGUAAAAGAAAUCACAGGGAAUUCAUCGGAAAUUCAAGAAAAAAAAUGUGCUUGCAAUAAGAAAGAUGGGCAUUAGAGUUGAGGACAUUAGAAUCGAGGGAAAUCUCCAUUCUUAUUCUUUCGUGAUGUAUGGUGGGAAAUUUUCCAAUUUUGUAUGUACAAAACUAUUUUGAACUAUUAAUAAAGGUAACUAGAUUGGUAUAAGCAGUUGUAAUAUAAAUGUAUCGUAAUGUUAUCGUCAUUCUUUAAAAAACUAUUGAAUGAAAAAAAAAACAGCAGAAUGUAUUGUUUACAUAUAUUAUGAACCUAUAUCGUAUUUAUUCUAAUAACGAUGAUGAUUGGUCAAAUCAAUGGCAGUUAGUUUGAUAAUAAUGUGGACAAAUUUGACAAAGCAAAUCAUAGACGGCUUCCAUUUUUAAGAAGUGGAGAUCAGCAGGAACGGCAUUAUGAUACUAAAACUGGCAACGCUGUCGAUUCCUCGUUCUCCAGAGAAACCAUGACUGUGUCUAUUAUAUAGGGUAUAGAGCUCCCUUGUAUACACACUUGUUAUCAAAAUGAAAAGUAAUCUUGAAAGUAUAGGCUUGAAUGUUAGUAUGGAUCAUUAUACACACAACUAACAUAAUGAACUACCGAGUUGUCUCCGGUGCCCUCGUAGUCUCACGACAAAGAUGUAGGCCUCAUUUCAUUUACUUAAUAUGUUUAUUAUUAAUAUUUACAUUGUUACAGCAUGUUAUUUUAUCAAUCAGCUCUGUGUCCAUUACAGUUUAAUUUAAAUGGUAAAUUCCUU